GUCAAGAUGGCCGAGUUGGUCUAAGGCGUCAGUUUCAGGUACUUGGUCCGAAAGGGCAUGGGUUCGAAUCCCAUUCUUGACA
This is a non-coding RNA of Musa acuminata AAA Group (dessert banana), 82 nucleotides long. The record is from the annotation of a RefSeq genome assembly. Lineage: Eukaryota; Viridiplantae; Streptophyta; Magnoliopsida; Zingiberales; Musaceae.